AUCCAUUCAAAAAGACCUGACCAUGGGAUGGCAAAGGAAUUGAUCUAUGAGAACAGAGGAAGUCACAGCACUUGUGGUCUGUUUUCAGUUCGGAAGGGCUACAAACUACGGCAGCUUCCCUGCAAAGUCUGCAAUAAUGUGAAAACAGAAAUAAGCGGUGAGUGGCUGUCGCAAACUACACUGGUCUCCUGGCAUCUUCGGCUGUUUUCCACCCACCCUUGAAAAUCAUCUCUGGCCCAAAAUGGAACUGUGAGCUGUACCACAUGCUCUAAAUGAAGUGCUAAUUAAAUACUUCUAUUUAAUGUAGACAACAUUUCUUUGAAAAGACUGUAAUGUAUUGCAGAUGUCACCAAUUCCCUUAGAGAAUGACGAGGGGAGCAACGUACACAUCCCUCUCUAGGAGGUAGGGAUGUAGCCCAGGUGGUUGUGACUGAUAAGGCCUAAUGCUGAAACAGCACUUGUCUGAUCCAAAUUCCCACACACCUUCUCUUACAGGGACACUGGUAUCAGGAACAGUGCAGGUGCUUCCGUCGGGAUGUACGCUUAGACACAUGGGAGAUAAAUGGUGGAGCCACACAGCUUGAUAGAUACUUGGAGUCUAAAAGAAAACAGGAAGGAAGGAAGGAAAAGCGUUGAACUUCUGUUUACCUCAUUUUGUUUGAACAGAGCCCUGUGUGUUAACCCUCCUCCGCACAAUGAAACUCUGUGCAGUGAAAAUUGGCUAAGUGGGUCCUUAUUCAGGAUCAUUCAUCGCCAUGGCACUGCCUCGUGCAUGCAUGGCAGAUUUACACCAGCGAAACUGAGGAAGAAAAACAAAAGACCCACGAUCUGAAGGAAGGGCUGGCGCUAUUUAUGAAGUGCCAGUAACGUGCUGGGGAUUAGAUGAAGAUCUGACCAGCCUCGCUCUGCAGGGGUGCUGCUGGCAGGGUGACAUGCCACCAAACACUGCAGCGAGGAGGACAACAUGUUCAGUGACUUGGGGCUCCUCAGAGGCACAUCGUGGUGUGCGUUUUGCAGACUGGACUCUUCCCUUCAGAAGAUGGGGCAUGCGUAUGGGAAGUAAGUCUAAUGCAGCUAAGGGAAACAGAAGGUUUGGGAAAACACUGGCCCAAUGCUAUCAGUGUGCUGAUUCUGUGCCUGCUGAUGUGCAGCAUCACAACUGGAGAGAAGGUAUGGACCAUUCGGCUGGGGUUUGUAUGUCUGAGAGAGGAAUAUUGUAAAUUGCACAAAGACAAACACG
RNAcentral lists this long non-coding RNA (1240 nucleotides) under Calidris pugnax (ruff). RNAcentral describes it as "lncRNA (ENSCPUG00000005364.1)". Lineage: Eukaryota; Metazoa; Chordata; Aves; Charadriiformes; Scolopacidae. The record is from RNAcentral.